CAAACAUGCAAGUCGAACGGAGUUAAUUUUGAAGCUUGCUUUAGAAUUAACUUAGUGGCGGUACUGGUGAGUAACGCGUGAGUAAUCUGCCUAUCGACAGGGGGAUAACAGAGGGAAACGUUCUGGCUAAUACCGCAUAAGACCACAGGAUGGCAUCAUCAAGGGGUCAAAGGUUAGAUCUAGGUGAUAGAUGAGCUUGCGUAUCAUUAGCUAGUUGGGUGACGGGUAAAGGCCCACCAAGGCGACGAUGAUUAGCCGAUCUGAGAGGAUGACCGGGCCACACUGGGACUCGAGAUACGGCCCAGACUCCUACGGGAGGGCAGCAGUUAGGAAUAGUUGGGCAAUGGAGGAAACUCUGACCCCAGCAACGCCGCGUGAAGGAAGAAGGUUUUCGGACUGUAAACUUCUGAUCUAAGGGAAAAAGAAAGUGAUGGUACCUUAGGAGAAAGCCACGGCUAACUACGUGCCAGCAGCCGCGGUAA
This 482-nucleotide ribosomal RNA is filed under the name uncultured bacterium. Its description in RNAcentral is "bacterial SSU rRNA". It matches the Rfam family "Bacterial small subunit ribosomal RNA", at positions 50 to 523 of the family's 1533-position model. The record is from RNAcentral.